Cavia porcellus (domestic guinea pig) is the source of this 743-nucleotide long non-coding RNA. RefSeq lists it as uncharacterized. The transcript has 3 exons. Lineage: Eukaryota; Metazoa; Chordata; Mammalia; Rodentia; Caviidae. The record is from RefSeq and is a predicted model, not a curated record.
UGGUUGUAUAACAUUGGAGGUAAAUGUGUAACUUUUCAAGAAACGGCCAAACCAUUUUUCAAACUGCCCACAGCUUCUUGCACUCGGACAGCAGUUACGGGGUUCCAGGAAUUCCCACUUUUACCGGCAGUUGUUGAGGUUAGUGGCUUUUCUCAAAUGCCCAGCAGCCCUGGCUGUCCAUCAACACCAAACAGGAGCUGGAAGCCAAGUGUGGCGGCACAUGCCAGUCAGCCCUUCCUACUCUGGGGGGAACAGCACAGCAUUCUGCGAGCCACCGGACUUUCCCCUUUCCUGGGUGGAUGAUGGGGAGUGUGUGAGUUUCUUGGAGUCAGCAGAACAAAUUUCCACUGCUCACUGGAAACUGGAAGACUGGUGUCAGCUAACUGUGCUGGAUCCAGGACUUUGCAGGCCCUUGCUCUCUGGAGCCAGGGAAUCAGGAGUCAGAAGAGGCACUGAAGCCAUCUAGGCCACCACUCUUGGGCAUGGGAGUGGGAGUGGGGAUGCCUUUCCUGGGUCCUGGGCAAGCUGUGGCUUGGCCUCUUCUUUCAUACCUCCAGAAAGGCAGGGUCCUCACUGCCUGCCAGGAGACUGUCAGUGUCUAGCACAGUGUUAGACUCCAGAAAUGACCAUCCAGUUUUCUUCUGUUUCUUUCUUUUUUUAAAAUUUUAUUUAAAAAAAGACUAAACAAAACAGAAAAUGGCUAGAAAUAAUACAUAUGUUCAAAGAAAAAAUAAACAGUAAGA